RNAcentral lists this long non-coding RNA (601 nucleotides) under Mytilus galloprovincialis (Mediterranean mussel). The record is from RNAcentral. Lineage: Eukaryota; Metazoa; Mollusca; Bivalvia; Mytilida; Mytilidae.
AGGACUUAUACAUUUCUCUAAAAGCCCAAGCAUGCAGUUAUAUUUGUUUGUAUUUUUCUUCUUUCAAUUACCAUGUACAUGUAUUAGGCUAUGCAAAAGGUCACCAUUUAUAAGGAUAUGAAGGUAUUUUACAGAUAUUAGAAAAAUGUGCAAAAAAGUAAGUCUGGAAGCGAGGCCCAAAAAAUAUAGAUAAUUAUAGAAUAUAGAGGUGAUGAAAUAUAAAGAAAAUAUUGAUUGAUUGUUGAGGUUUUUUAACGUUCAGUGGCAAAUAUUUGAUGCGUGUUUAGGUCGAAUAAAUAUAAUAACGAUCAAUUGGCAGGAAUAUAAAGAAAUAAGCGAAAAAGUAAAAAUAUUUAAAAGUAAGGAAAUAUAGAAACAAUGAUCUGACCCUCCCCCCCCCAAACAACAAACAAACAAACAAACAAAAUAAACAUAACACCCACUCAACGUGACUCGCAUAUAUAUAUAUCUCCAAAAAAAAUUGGUUCAUGGUGAAAAUUGAGGUCCUGGAUCCGCCCCUGGAAAAACUAUUACAAUAAAGUGUAUAAUCAGAUAUGGGAGUAUAUUCGAUGUUUGUUAUACCAUGGUUCACUUACACGCA